RNAcentral lists this unclassified non-coding RNA (181 nucleotides) under fungal sp. RNAcentral describes it as "partial internal transcribed spacer region". The stretch from base 1 to 46 matches the Rfam family "Eukaryotic small subunit ribosomal RNA", at positions 1786 to 1831 of the family's 1831-position model. The record is from RNAcentral. Lineage: Eukaryota; Fungi.
AAGUCGUAACAAGGUUUCCGUAGGUGAACCUGCGGAAGGAUCAUUAAAAAUGGAGUAAUCCAUAAUAUUGUUGUGCCACUUAUAAAAUGUAAAUUUUAGGUUUACAUUUUUUUUUUAUAAAUUCAUUUUACAAUAGUUUUAUAAUUUAAUACAACUGUUGGCAAUGGAUCACUUGGUUCUG